Humulus lupulus (European hop) is the source of this 707-nucleotide long non-coding RNA. RefSeq lists it as uncharacterized. NCBI's taxonomy places the organism in Eukaryota, Viridiplantae, Streptophyta, Magnoliopsida, Rosales, Cannabaceae. The transcript is spliced from 2 exons. The record is from RefSeq and is a predicted model, not a curated record.
UAUUAUAGGUAUACAAUUGUAAAGAUUUUUUUUAAUAGAACUAUACAUUAAAGAUCCAGGCCCAGCCCAAGCCUGAAUUAAAGACCCAGCCCAAUAGUCAAACCCUAACCCUCUCUCUCCCCAACGCUCCCCUAACGGACACAAUAGCCUAGCCGACCCUCUUCUCCUCUCUUUCACCCACGACAGCUCUUCGCUCACACCGGCUCUCUAAGGCACGGCAGCUACCUCUUACGCCGGCUCUGUCAUAUCCCAGAUAAAUUUCCAAUUACGUCUGAAACCGUGGAACUCUCUGAAAACAGAAAAUUAAUUGUAGGUGUUGGUCUUCCUGGUUUGGUGUCACCGACUCAAACCGUGCGGUGUAGUUUAACUAUCAAACUGCAAGUGUGGUACACCCUAGCUGCCUGUGUAAGAAGAAGGGGAGUGUUAUUUUUAUAUGGGGAAAUCUGGGGGAAGGAAGAAAAAGGGUGGUUCGAACCAAGUUUCUGGGGAUAACAUUUCAACCCCUAUUGCUAAUGGUGCUGUGGAUUUGGAUUCUUCCAUAUUUUUGAAGAGAGCCCAUGAGCUUAAAGAGGAAGGGAACAAGAGGUUUCAGAACAAGGAUUAUGUGAGUGCUCUUGAGCAGUAUGAUAAUGCUCUUAGGCUCACACCGAAAACUCACCCAGAUAGGGCAGUCUUUCAUAGCAAUAGAGCGGCUUGUCUUAUGCAAA